AUUGAACGCUGGCGGCAGGCCUAACACAUGCCAGUCGAACGGUAACAGGAAACAGCUUGCUGUUUCGCUGACGAGUGGCGGACGGGUGAGUAAUGUCUGGGAAACUGCCUGAUGGAGGGGGAUAACUACUGGAAACGGUAGCUAAUACUGCAUAACGUCGCAAGACCAAAGAGGGGGACCCUCGGGCCUCUUGCCAUCGGAUGUGCCCAGAUGGGAUUAGCUUGUUGGUGGGGUAACGGCUCACCAAGGCGACGAUCCCUAGCUGGUCUGAGAGGAUGACCAGCCACACUGGAACUGAGACACGGGCCAGACUCCUACGGGAGGCAGCAGGGGGGAAUAUUGCACAAUGGGCGCAAGCCUGAUGCAGCCAUGCCGCGUGUAUGAAGAAGGCCUUCGGGUUGUAAAGUACUUUCAGCGGGGAGGAAGGGAGUAAAGUUAAUACCUUUGCUCAUUGACGUUACCCGCAGAAGAAGCACCGGCUAACUCCGU
RNAcentral lists this ribosomal RNA (489 nucleotides) under uncultured bacterium. RNAcentral's name for it is "partial 16S ribosomal RNA". It matches the Rfam family "Bacterial small subunit ribosomal RNA", at positions 30 to 506 of the family's 1533-position model. The record is from RNAcentral.